Molecule: long non-coding RNA, 495 nt
Filed under: Struthio camelus australis
Lineage: Eukaryota; Metazoa; Chordata; Aves; Struthioniformes; Struthionidae
Description: lncRNA (ENSSCUG00000000806.1)
Source: RNAcentral
CAGGAGUGGACCCCAUGCAUCUGCAGGGCAUGAUAGAUAUCCUGACAGAUGCUCUUUUCCCCAAUGCUAUGGGUAGUGGGCGCUUUGAUAGCAGGUGAAGCCGGUUCCUGCUCAGUGAGUGAGGUAAAGAGCUCCAUUAGACGCCCCGCGGGAUUGCAAGACAAUUCUGUAGAGACAGACUGCGUGGCGGAGCAAACGGGCCCCUCACUUAACCCGCCUUCCAGGGAGGCUCGGGCUCAUCUGUCUCCUGUCACUUUAGAUUCCACCGUCACCUCUUCAUCAUCCCUCGAGCUGCCACGGAGGCUGGUGCCGGUUCCAGCUGGGAAGGGGGGAACAAAAGAAAAAGAGAGAGAGCAGGAGGGGCAGAAGAACAUAUUAGCACGGAGUGGAAGUGAAGCCCCAGAAGAUGGACCGUCACCUAUGCUCCGGAUUCGGUGCCGGCUUUUCAAGAGAUGGCUUCAGACUGUGCCCCUUACUCACCGAGGCGUCCCUUAA